GUGGGGAAUCUUGCGCAAUGGGCGAAAGCCUGACGCAGCCAUGCCGCGUGAAUGAUGAAGGUCUUAGGAUUGUAAAAUUCUUUCACCGGGGACGAUAAUGACGGUACCCGGAGAAGAAGCCCCGGCUAACUUCGUGCCAGCAGCCGCGGUAAUACGAAGGGGGCUAGCGUUGCUCGGAAUUACUGGGCGUAAAGGGCGCGUAGGCGGACAGUUUAGUCAGAGGUGAAAGCCCAGGGCUCAACCUUGGAAUUGCCUUUGAUACUGGCUGUCUUGAGUACGGGAGAGGUGAGUGGAACUCCGAGUGUAGAGGUGAAAUUCGUAGAUAUUCGGAAGAACACCAGUGGCGAAGGCGACAUACUGGUCCAUUACUGACGCUGAGGCUCGAAAGCGUGGGGAGCAAACAGGAUUAGAUACCCCUGUAGUCC
RNAcentral lists this ribosomal RNA (425 nucleotides) under uncultured bacterium. RNAcentral's name for it is "partial 16S ribosomal RNA". It matches the Rfam family "Bacterial small subunit ribosomal RNA", at positions 354 to 796 of the family's 1533-position model. The record is from RNAcentral.